Molecule: ribosomal RNA, 386 nt
Filed under: uncultured eukaryote
Lineage: Eukaryota
Description: bacterial SSU rRNA
Rfam family: Bacterial small subunit ribosomal RNA
Source: RNAcentral
GCAAGUCGUACGAGAGUUUUUAACUCAAGUGGCGGACGGGUGAGUAACACGUAAGAAUUUGCCUUUAGGAGGGGGACAACAACUGGAAACGGUUGCUAAUACCCCAUAUGCUUUCGAGUGAAAUGGUUUUUCCGCCUAAAGAGAAGCUUGCGGCUGAUUAGCUUGUUGGUAAGGUAAUGGCUUACCAAGGCGACGAUCAGUAUCUGGUUUGAGAGGACGAUCAGACACACUGGAACUGAGACACGGUCCAGACUCCUACGGGAGGCAGCAGUGGGGAAUUUUCCGCAAUGGGCGAAAGCCUGACGGAGCAAUACCGCGUGAGGGAUGAAUGCCUAUGGGUUGUAAACCUCUUUUUUCAGGGAGGAAUCAAUGACGUGUACCUGAAG